This is a long non-coding RNA of Dipodomys ordii (Ord's kangaroo rat), 203 nucleotides long. RefSeq lists it as uncharacterized. Lineage: Eukaryota; Metazoa; Chordata; Mammalia; Rodentia; Heteromyidae. The transcript is spliced from 3 exons. The record is from RefSeq and is a predicted model, not a curated record.
CUGGGAAGUUCGGUGUUGCUUUCCCGAGGUCCAAGCCCCGAGGCAGAUGCCCAGCCGCUCUUCAGGGGACCUUGGGAGCUGUAACUUGGAGGAAUCUCAGGCUGCGGAACCGAUGUCAGGCCCUGUACCUUCAGCAUUAUGGCCAAGGUUCUUCAUAUGACUGUUCAGGAAACCAUGCUUCCAGAAUCUUCUGUCCAUUUUCA